Molecule: ribosomal RNA, 560 nt
Filed under: uncultured bacterium
Lineage: Bacteria
Description: bacterial SSU rRNA
Rfam family: Bacterial small subunit ribosomal RNA
Source: RNAcentral
GGCCCGCACAAGCGGUGGAGCAUGUGGUUUAAUUCAAUGCAACGCGAAGAACCUUACCUGGUCUUGACAUCCACGGAAGUUUUCAGAGAUGAGAAUGUGCCUUCGGGAACCGUGAGACAGGUGCUGCAUGGCUGUCGUCAGCUCGUGUUGUGAAAUGUUGGGUUAAGUCCCGCAACGAGCGCAACCCUUAUCCUUUGUUGCCAGCGGUCCGGCCGGGAACUCAAAGGAGACUGCCAGUGAUAAACUGGAGGAAGGUGGGGAUGACGUCAAGUCAUCAUGGCCCUUACGACCAGGGCUACACACGUGCUACAAUGGCGCAUACAAAGAGAAGCGACCUCGCGAGAGCAAGCGGACCUCAUAAAGUGCGUCGUAGUCCGGAUUGGAGUCUGCAACUCGACUCCAUGAAGUCGGAAUCGCUAGUAAUCGUGGAUCAGAAUGCCACGGUGAAUACGUUCCCGGGCCUUGUACACACCGCCCGUCACACCAUGGGAGUGGGUUGCAAAAGAAGUAGGUAGCUUAACCUUCGGGAGGGCGCUUACCACUUUGUGAUUCAUGACUGG